Molecule: long non-coding RNA, 534 nt
Filed under: Homo sapiens (human)
Lineage: Eukaryota; Metazoa; Chordata; Mammalia; Primates; Hominidae
Description: HSALNT0320785
Source: RNAcentral
ACUCUCAUUUCAUCCACAGUGACCCAGGCACCCAAUUAUUGAAUGCUUUUAGAAGUCUUCUCAAAUGAAUCUCUAUGAACAGCAGUAAUAACGGUCUCAGGUCUGAAGUCCACUGCGGUCAGCCUUCCCUGGUGGUGAGCUGCUGUCAGAACCUCCCCACUACUCCUCUGGGUGGCCCCAGUCUUGUGCCUAUUUCCCUCUCGUGGUCAUCAAGUCUCGCCCAGUGGAAAUUGACUUCCUUGUUCUGAGCUGCCCCAUGGAGAGGCCAUGUGGCAAAGAAUUGAGGGUGGCCUCCAGCCAACAGCCAGCAAGGAACUGUGGCCUUCGGUGGGAGGAACAGAAUCCAACUAACAACCAUAUGAGUGAGCUUGGAAGCAGAUGCUUCCCCGGUUGAGACCUGAGAUGACUGUAGACCCAGUUGACACCUUGAUUGCAGCCUAUGAAAGGCCCUAAAGCAGGGGACCCAGCUAAGCCAAGGCCAGGUUCCUGACCCAUAGGAACUGUGAGAUAAUAAAAUUUUUUUUUUGUAAACCA